Molecule: small RNA, 374 nt
Filed under: Arabidopsis thaliana (thale cress)
Lineage: Eukaryota; Viridiplantae; Streptophyta; Magnoliopsida; Brassicales; Brassicaceae
Description: ATSL044590
Source: RNAcentral
CAAAUAAUUUUGUAUCUAUACUAUUAAUUGGGAAGCAUUGUGUGAACUACAACAUUGUAAGGGUAGUUUAAAACUAAGUAAAUGAUUUUUUUUCAUGGGUAAUUUAGUAAAUAAACAACUACUUCAACUAAAUAAAUAUCUUGAAUUUUGCUUUAAAAAAAACGAAUUAAAUCAAUAAAUUAAUAUCUACACAAUAUUUUCGGAAAUCAUUUAAAAACGUUUCCAUAACAUAUCAGACUAUUUUAAUUUUAAUUAUAUAUAUGUAAACUUAUUUAUUUUGGUAAUAUGUUAUUAGAUAAAUCGGAAACUUCAAUCUAAUUUAAUAACAAAUUCUCAUUUAGUUUAGAUUUAAUACAAUUUUCUUAACAAAACUA